Molecule: ribosomal RNA, 455 nt
Filed under: uncultured bacterium
Lineage: Bacteria
Description: bacterial SSU rRNA
Rfam family: Bacterial small subunit ribosomal RNA
Source: RNAcentral
UACGGAAGGCAGCAGUGGGGAAUAUUGCACAAUGGGCGCAAGCCUGAUGCAGCCAUGCCGCGUGUAUGAAGAAGGCCUUCGGGUUGUAAAGUACUUUCAGUCGUGAGGAAGGUGUUAAGGUUAAUAACCUUAGCAAUUGACGUUAGCGACAGAAGAAGCACCGGCUAACUCCGUGCCAGCAGCCGCGGUAAUACGGAGGGUGCGAGCGUUAAUCGGAAUUACUGGGCGUAAAGGGCACGCAGGCGGCUAAUUAAGUUGGAUGUGAAAUCCCCCGGGCUUAACCUGGGAAUGGCAUUCAAGACUGGUUAGCUAGAGUCUUGUAGAGGGGGUAGAAUUCCAUGUGUAGCGGUGAAAUGCGUAGAGAUGUGGAGGAAUACCGGUGGCGAAGGCGGCCCCUGGGACAAAGACUGACGCUCAUGUGCGAAAGCGUGGGGAGCAAACAGGAUUAGGAUACC